Molecule: long non-coding RNA, 1167 nt
Organism: Carya illinoinensis
Lineage: Eukaryota; Viridiplantae; Streptophyta; Magnoliopsida; Fagales; Juglandaceae
Exons: 2
Source: RefSeq, a predicted model, not a curated record
CCAAGAUUCAGGCAAAACGAGGCCCUUUUUCCUUCAAAAGCGGUGCCCUUUUUGCAAGGGCUUAUGUUUCUAUUUUCCUCCCUGAAAAACAGUGUUGUUUUCACAAGAAAAUCAACUCUAUUUUGCCUAAAUCCCUUGGUUUCUUACAACCCCCUACGUGACCUCACCCUCACUCCCCCAGUUUCACACUUUCACCUUCCUUUCUCACUUGAAAACCCUAAGUCCCACUACUGCUAGCCCAUUGUCGUCGAUCACGUUUGGAUCUCUUCCCCUGCCAUGCGAAUGCCAUCCCUCGACUCCUCCUCGUUGUCUGACCCUUCACAUAGUCUCAGACCCAUCAUCCACUCUCAGUCGCAUUUGUAACCACUACUCAUUGACGUGGGUUGGGAAUCUUGAAAAUGGGUAGAUUCUUAUCAGGCAUUUUGUGAAUCUAGUUGUGAUAUGAUUUGUGUUUUUGGGGCUCUGGGUAUGAUUUAAAUUUAACUUCUUUUGGGCUAUGUAAUUGUGUUUUUGUCAAAAAAAAUUUGGGGAUGUUAGUAUGAUUUAAUUACAUUUGGGACUUUGUUUUUUCAAUGUAUGUUUCUGUUAAUAUGUUAAUAUGUUUCUAAUUUGGGUCUAUGUAAUAGUAUGAUUUCAGCGGGGCUGUUAAUCUUAGUAGAUUUCACGACUUUGUCGGAUUUGGCAUUCAAAAAAUGCAGUCGGCGUGCAGUCGUGCAGUCGGAAAAUACUUUAACCCUCCUAUUACCUAUGCAUAUGUUCAUGAUUUUCAUACUGAUAUAUUAUGUAGGUCCAAAAAUAUUUCUAACUAAAAUCUUUUCAUAUUUUUUUGUAGGCACAACUUGGAAGUGAGAAUGGCAGCGUGGCACAUGGAACAUUUAAAGUAUUUUGGUUUAUUUGUUGGGUAUUGAUAUUUGUUAUUGAGAACAUUUAAGUUAGUUGGCACUUAGAAAAUAUUUGUUGUAGUAGUUGUAAAAAAAUAUUAUCAUGAUUGAUGUGGAUGAUUGGUGGGGAUGAUUUUGAAUGCGGUUGAUGGAUUAUGGGUGUGGAUGUUUAUUGUAGUGAUUAGUUGGAUGUGCACGUGGAUGAUGGAUGAAUGAUGAUGGGAGUGGAUGUUUAUUGUAGUGAUUAGUCCGUUCUAAUUAUUAUUUUUUUUAAUUUUUUGAAGCA